RNAcentral lists this non-coding RNA (44 nucleotides) under Mytilus edulis (blue mussel). RNAcentral also lists the same sequence under 1 other name. The record is from RNAcentral. Lineage: Eukaryota; Metazoa; Mollusca; Bivalvia; Mytilida; Mytilidae.
ACGUCACUGAUGAGUCUAUUGUAGACGAAACGCGCGUCUGGCGU